CAGCCGCCGCGGUAAUACCGGCGGCCCGAGUGGCGGCUACUAUUAUUGGGCCUAAAGCGUCCGUAGCCGGGCUGGUAAGGCCUCCGGGAAAUCUGGUCGCUUAAAGAUCAGACUUCCGGGGGAUACUGCUGGCCUAGGGACCGGGAGAGGCCGAGGGUAUUCCCGGGGUAGGGGUGAAAUCCUGUAAUCCCGGGAGGACCACCUGUGGCGAAGGCGCUCGGCUGGAACGGGUCCGACGGUGAGGGACGAAGGCCAGGGGAGCGAACCGGAUUAGAUACCCGGGUAGUCCUGGCGGUAAACGAUGCGGACUAGGUGUCGGGCAAGCUAAGGGCUUGUCCGGUGCCGCAGGGAAGCCGUUAAGUCCGCCGCCUGGGGAGUACGGCCGCAAGGCUGAAACUUAAAGGAAUUGGCGGG
RNAcentral lists this ribosomal RNA (414 nucleotides) under uncultured microorganism. RNAcentral describes it as "bacterial SSU rRNA". It matches the Rfam family "Archaeal small subunit ribosomal RNA", at positions 459 to 872 of the family's 1478-position model. The record is from RNAcentral.